RNAcentral lists this long non-coding RNA (1974 nucleotides) under Canis lupus familiaris (dog). RNAcentral describes it as "lncRNA (ENSCAFG00000053935.1)". The record is from RNAcentral. Lineage: Eukaryota; Metazoa; Chordata; Mammalia; Carnivora; Canidae.
ACCUGCGUGGGGUCUGCGGGUGGAAAGGUCCGGCCCCGGGUGCGGGGAGGACAGGUUUUCGGGGCCGCCCAGGGGAUGCCUGUGACCCCCCGCCCCGACUUUGGUCGGACUUCCUUUCAAAUUCCAGCUGCUCCCGCUUAGCGCGAACUAGCAAUAAGUAACAAUAACCAGCUAGUGUUUAUUAUUGAUCGCUUCCUGUGCGCGGCCCUGGACGGUUCAGAGCGCUUUGUACGUAUGAAGUCACUGAAAGCCUUCCCAACAAUCCCAUUUUACCGCUGAGAACACUGAGGCACAGAGACGCAAGCGAUGUGCCUGAGGACGCACAGCUGGAAUACGACAGAGCCGGGAUUGCAGCUCAGGCUUAAUUAAAUUACUUCAAAGUGAAAAGUCUUACAAAGAAAAAAAAGAAGCUGAAAUGCUAAUAUGAGUGACAGAGAAAGCUCCAGUUCCCAGAGCUGCCCCAAAUCCAGAGAUUUCUAGCCCCUGGGUGGGUCCAUCUGUGUUUAUUAAAAAGCAAGAAGCCUGAGCAGAACAUGCUCCUAGUUUUACUUGCAAGUUGCUCCAAAUCUUGUGGAAAAAGACAAUAGCCCAAAUUUCUCAAUUAUGAGCCCUGGUAAUCAUGCAUCUCAGAUGCUCCAGACCCAGUCGAGCCUCUAGCUGACUACAGCUCUGGUGACCCCUUUACUACAACUUCGGGAGGGAUCCUGUGCCAGUCCACCCAGAUGAGCCACUGCCAAAUUCCUGAUCCAUGGUGAUGUAAUAAGUUUUGAGUUGCUAAGCUUUGGAGUAAUUUGUUACUCAGUAAUGGAUAAAUAAUAUAUUUGGUAACUAUUAACUCUGCGUGAAAGGUGUAUAUAUGUGUAUGAAUACAACUUUGAAGUGACUCAGUUACUUAAAAAUUAGCAGCCACUGGUUUCUUUUGUUUCUGGGUGCAUUUUGACAAUGUGUAUCAAUACCCCUAAAAUGGUUUAUAGCCACUGACCAAGAAUCCAACAUUUUGGAAUAUCUUCUAAGGACAUGAAAACCUCCCAUGGGAAUGCAAUCCACAAGCAGGGAGUUUUGUUGGGUUGGCUUAUCGCCGUAUCCCCAACAGCUAGGACAGUACAUAGUACCUAGUAGGAGCUCAAAAUGUAUUUUUGAAUGAAUGAAUGAAAUAAUUGGUCAAGUGUGUGAAGAUAUAAAGAUUAGAAUAUUUAUCACAGUGUCGUUUAUGAUAAUAAAAAAUAUUGAGAACCACUUAAAUGUUAGGACAUGUAUACCAACAGUAAAUGAUGAGUUAGGAUGAACUAUAAUACAUCUAUACAAAAUGGAAUAUUAUGUAGCUGUUAAGAACAAUUAUAUAGAAAGACCUCUAUUUUGUAGUGGAAUCUUUCUUAGUCGAUGCCCACUGAAUGACCUACGAGAUUAACCAACAUUUUUCUUCCUCUUCAAAAUUCUAAUUAAUUCCCAUGACAUGCUGAGUACGUUCUCUUCCUCAAAUUCCUAUAUUCUCAUAUUUCCAUGCAAUUUUGUUCCCACUGUGACUUACCACGAGUCAACUUGUUCCCCCAACUUUUGGUGUCUGCUCUAUUAUUUUGUGGUUAAACAAAUCCCACCUAAACUGAUAAAACACAAGUGCAAAUAAUAGAGAUGGUUCUAAUAGACACAAAAUAGAAUGUUUAAGAAAGAUAAUAAAAAUGGUUUUUAAAAAAUGGCUCUCAAGCUACUCGUGGGCAAGGUAACUAGAGAAGACUAGAAAAUUUUGCAAAAAAAUCUAGGACUUUGCAGUUGGGUUGCUCUGACUACUUUGCUUUUCUUCAAAUAAACUCAAAUUGGAAAUUUUUUUCUUUUUUUCUUUUUUUUUCAAAUUGGAAAUUUUAAGUCAAGUAUAUGGGUGUAGUUUAUGCAAGAAACACCACACUUAGAAGUCAUCUUUUCUGAAUGGUUGUGCAUUUAUAAGCUUUAAGUUACAAUAAAAUGUUUAAAGUAUGCGCA